RNAcentral lists this ribosomal RNA (468 nucleotides) under uncultured bacterium. Its description in RNAcentral is "partial 16S ribosomal RNA". It matches the Rfam family "Bacterial small subunit ribosomal RNA", at positions 28 to 507 of the family's 1533-position model. The record is from RNAcentral.
GACGAACGCUGGCGGCGUGCUUAACACAUGCAAGUCGAACGGAAAGGCCCUGCUUUUGUGGGGUGCUCGAGUGGCGAACGGGUGAGUAACACGCGAGUAACCUGCCCUUGACUUUGGGAUAACUUCAGGAAACUGGGGCUAAUACCGGAUAGGAGCUCCUGCUGCAUGGUGGGGGUUGGAAAGUUUCGGCGGUUGGGGAUGGACUCGCGGCUUAUCAGCUUGUUGGUGGGGUAGUGGCUUACCAAGGCUUUGACGGGUAGCCGGCCUGAGAGGGUGACCGGCCACAUUGGGACUGAGAUACGGCCCGGACUCCUACGGGAGGCAGCAGUGGGGAAUAUUGCACAAUGGGCGGAAGCCUGAUGCAGCAACGCCGCGUGCGGGAUGACGGCCUUCGGGUUGUAAACCGCUUUCGCCUGUGACGAAGCGUGAGUGACGGUAAUGGGUAAAGAAGCACCGGCUAACUACGUG